Molecule: long non-coding RNA, 1056 nt
Organism: Aedes albopictus (Asian tiger mosquito)
Lineage: Eukaryota; Metazoa; Arthropoda; Insecta; Diptera; Culicidae
Exons: 2
Source: RefSeq, a predicted model, not a curated record
UUUUUCCGUUAUCAUUCUAUUGAUAUUAAAAGAAAUUGAAGGAGUUGAAUGCACUCUAAAAUUAUUUUCUCUAAAGUUACACGGAAAAUAUAUUUUUUUCAAGAGAGAAAAAUAACAAUAACAAUAACUUUAAAAUCUCAAAAUGUUUUUGCCUUAAAAAAUCGGUAAUCCAAAAAGGCUUCCAAGAAAAAUAUAAGAGUGUAAGGAUGUUUAAAUAUAAAAAUCAAACAACAAAAUUUACAAAUUCGCGAGUUAGAAAGAUCACCUACGAAAACAUGAUUAAAUGAAUUAAAUGAAUUAUAAAAAACGAUAUUUAGAUAUUCAGAUCAAAAUAAAAAAAUGGGUAUUAGAGGGUUAAAUGCUGCCAAUUCGUUUACUUUUCCACGUUUCGUUCAUUCAACGUUUUGGUAUUCGACGUAGCUUCAAAUGCUCUCAAAGUUUGCUGAUAAAUUUGGCCGAAUUAUGCAAUUGGAUUUUUUUUUCUCUGGAUGGAAUGCUCAUGUUUCUUAUUAGGGACCUUAGUGUAAUACUUCAUGAGGCAUUAACUAAUUGUCUUUAUUUUCUUUAAUGCAUUCUAUUUGGAAAAAUGUUUCGGCAUUUAUGGUAACCCGUUCAUAUCAAUUUAUCAAUUGUACAUUAAUCUCUGCUUCUUUCUCAACAGAUGCAUCUUCACUAACGUCGAUCCGGAAACGGGCAUUCCCAGCUCACAAGGCGAGCCACUGAAGACGUUGAAAACAUACCGCAAGAAGCCCGGUCUAGGGGACUCACCCGUUGUCGGCAUGCAGAUGGGCAUUCGCAAGGAAGGCACCGUUCGUCUCGGUGAGACGGUCUAUGUCGGUUGCUAACAUCCCCCGCGUUUCGGAGCUGCCGCCAUCAUCGUCAUAUUCGUCACUACUAGUUGCCAUGCCACAUCUGUAUGUUCUUUUGUAUUGAUUUUUAUGUUGUGAAGGGGAUUGACGUGUGUUGGUUCACGUGAUCGAACUCAGCACGGAAAUCAGAAGGAGCUCGACAGUAUUUUUUUGCUUUUUUAAUGCAAAUAAAUUCUAACGUUAUGUA